RNAcentral lists this ribosomal RNA (433 nucleotides) under uncultured bacterium. RNAcentral's name for it is "partial 16S ribosomal RNA". It matches the Rfam family "Bacterial small subunit ribosomal RNA", at positions 29 to 507 of the family's 1533-position model. The record is from RNAcentral.
AACGAACGCUGGCGGCAUGCCUAACACAUGCAAGUCGAACGAGACCUUCGGGUCUAGUGGCGCACGGGUGCGUAACGAGUGGGAACCUACCCUUAGGUUAGGAAUAACUCCCCGAAAGGGGUGCUAAUACCGGAUAAGGUCAUCGGGCAAAAGAUUUAUCGCCUUUGGAUGGGGCCGGGUAGGAUUAGCUAGUUGGUAGGGUAAAAGCCUACCAAGGCGACGAUCCAUAGCUGGUGUGAGAGGCUGAUCAGCCACACUGGGACUGAGACACGGCCCAGACUCCUACGGGAGGCAGCAGUGGGGAAUAUUGGACAAUGGGCGAAAGCCUGAUCCAGCAAUGCCGCGUGAGUGAUGAAGGCCUUAGGGUUGUAAAGCUCUUUUACCCGGGAUGAUAAUGACAGUACCGGGAGAAUAAGCUCCGGCUAACUCCGUG